RNAcentral lists this ribosomal RNA (496 nucleotides) under uncultured bacterium. RNAcentral describes it as "partial 16S ribosomal RNA". It matches the Rfam family "Bacterial small subunit ribosomal RNA", at positions 28 to 506 of the family's 1533-position model. The record is from RNAcentral.
GAUGAACGCUGGCGGCGUGCCUAAUACAUGCAAGUCGAGCGAACGGACGAGAAGCUUGCUUCUCCGAUGUUAGCGGCGGACGGGUGAGUAACACGUGGAUAACCUACCUAUAAGACUGGGAUAACUUCGGGAAACCGGAGCUAAUACCGGAUAAUAUUUUGAACCGCAUGGUUCAAAAGUGAAAGACGGUCUUGCUGUCACUUAUAGAUGGAUCCGCGCUGCAUUAGCUAGUUGGUAAGGUAACGGCUUACCAAGGCAACGAUGCAUAGCCGACCUGAGAGGGUGAUCGGCCACACUGGAACUGAGACACGGUCCAGACUCCUACGGGAGGCAGCAGUAGGGAAUCUUCCGCAAUGGGCGAAAGCCUGACGGAGCAACGCCGCGUGAGUGAUGAAGGUCUUCGGAUCGUAAAACUCUGUUAUUAGGGAAGAACAUAUGUGUAAGUAACUGUGCACAUCUUGACGGUACCUAAGCAGAAAGCCACGGCUAACUACGU